CCUACGGGAGGCAGCAGUGAGGAAUAUUGGUCAAUGGGCGAGAGCCUGAACCAGCCAAGUCGCGUGAAGGAUGACGGCCCUACGGGUUGUAAACUUCUUUUGUCAGGGAGCAAUUGAGUCCACGUGUGGGCUUAGCGAGAGUACCUGAAGAAAAAGCAUCGGCUAACUCCGUGCCAGCAGCCGCGGUAAUACGGAGGAUGCGAGCGUUAUCCGGAUUGAUUGGGUUUAAAGGCUGCGUAGGCGGAAUGUCAAGUCAGCGGGAAAACUUCGGGGCUCAACCCAGUCGUGCCGUUGAAACUGAUAGUCUUGAGUGGGCGAGAGGUAUGCGGAAUGCGUGGUGUAGCGGUGAAAUGCAUAGAUAUCACGCAGAACUCCGAUUGCGAAGGUAGCAUACCGGCGCCCAACUGACGCUGAAGCACGAAAGCGUGGGUAUCGAACAGGAUUAGAUACCCUAGUAGUC
This 460-nucleotide ribosomal RNA is filed under the name uncultured bacterium. RNAcentral describes it as "partial 16S ribosomal RNA". It matches the Rfam family "Bacterial small subunit ribosomal RNA", at positions 338 to 795 of the family's 1533-position model. The record is from RNAcentral.